GGUGUGACUAGCUAACAAGGCAUUUUGACGUUUGAGAUAUCCACGCGUGUAUUGGGUUGGGGUGGCUUUGUUAUUUAACGAGGGCCAAAGUUUGCUCUGCUACGGCUGUGAAGUUGGCAACUGACAUCAGCGCAUGCGCGACUACAAGUGAAUGAAUGAAAUUGUACAGGAUGUUUGGCCUAACGUUCAAGCACUUCGCUGUUGGGCAGUAACAUUUGAAUUGUAAAAAUUGCCAUUUAGUAGGAAAUCAUCUCAAAUGUAGUCUAAGCAGUAAUCUACACUCAUGUCUCCCACAGCUUGCUGAACAGAAGCAUGAGUGUGAAACCAGGGGUCUAGAUGUGAAGGGCAACAAAGUGGAACUGAUCACACGACUACAGGCUUAUCUGGAGGAACAUGCCAACAGCAUUUCAAGUGGACAGCAUGUGUGUGGGAAAUUUGAUUCUACAACCUCAUAUUCGGCCAAAAAGGAAUUGACACAUAGAUAGGUUCAACGUGAAGUACCUGGCCAUUCAAGCAAUGUAUAGGAAUUCUAGAUUCUAAUUCUAGAUCAACUGAAAAAGCACUAUGCCCAAGUGUGUAAAAACCGAGACUAGUUAAAGAAGCUACUCCUUGCUGCACUCUAUUUGGGUGAAAGUGAGGAUAUGGAAUUCAGGGAUUUCGAUAAAUACAAUGGCGGGUCCCUCCCCCAUGAAAUGUUGCAUUUCUCCACGAGCGGAGCAGCACACUCUCACCUGAGGUUGGUGCAUUUGUGAGUAAACAAGAAGAAUCGAAUGGUUUCCCAAAUGUCAACGGCAUGAUUGCAUGCAGUGCAGAAGCUCUUCUGGGUGAGAUAAAAGCAGAGAUCAGAAAAGCCCCAUUCUUUGCACUGCAAAUCGAUGAACGCCAGGACGCUCCGGCUGGGAAUGGCAACACUCCAUCAUGGUUCAGUACGUAGACAAUUCAGGAGUAUUUCCUGGGUUUCCAUCUGCACGAAGGGGGUGUUCUGACCUUAUAUGUAUGGAAAUGGCCGACCAUGACUGCGAAUAAAAAAAACUUGUGGGACAGUCUUACAAUGGAUGGGCCGUGUCUGCGCACAAGCUAAACAUGCAGACGGAAAAAGUGAGGAAGAUGGCCCACAACACUGUCUUCCUCAACUCCUACUCAAACCGUCUCAGCACUGUUGACAGAAGUAGAUAUUUUGUGAUCUGAGGCCGUUCCCCUCGUUUUUGUUCCCCACCGGCUGGGGUUCUUCAAUGAAACUUGGAGCGAGGUGAAUGCUGACCGACUGCCACUGGACGUCCUCAGUGAAGUGGCGAACACCUACCACGCAUUUUACGACACCAUCAACCACAUUGGGAACACGGAUUGGGUAAAGGGCGAAUCAUCCUAUGAAGCAAACAAUCUUGUUUCGAAACUUGAGGAUUUCCAGUUUGUGUUCCAGCUCUUCACCUACCGCAGGUUUUCUCCAACAUUGACGUUGCAUUUGACACUGAAGCACAAAGCAAUGGAUGUGGCAGCCUGCAAAGCAUUGAGGAGCUGGUUCAACACAUCCAGAGCAAGAAGUCUGACUCUGCCUUCGACAGCAUCUACCAGAAGGCUGAGAGAUUGGCUCAACACCCAUGCGAGAGUCUCAAGUGGACAGAUGACUUAGAUCCACUGACACACUUCAAGGCUGUGUACUACGAAGCUCUGGAAACCCUCAUCUCUCAGAUCCAGGUUUGUUACGCACAUCUGGAUGACCUACGCUUCCUCGCUGCUGGAUCCAGUGAAGUUCACUGACAUUAACAUCCAUUUCGCAACAGACGUGGUGGAUAGCCUGGUGAAGCUCUACGGGGGCUUCUUCAACAUGGACAGGCUCAGAGUGGGCCUGAAGGCGUUCUACAUAGGCCAAGGACAGCAGCAGGACAGCCACAAGCUCUGUGAAUUGAUCUUUUUCAUCCGGUCCCAGAAGAACCCACUACCAGAGCUUUACAAGCUGAUGUGCCUUGUGGCGACCAUUGGAGUGACCUCAACCGACGUGAAGGAAAGCUUCCCCUAGCUGAAGCGCAUUCAGGACUUCGUGAAAGGGGAAAAGCUGGACGAUCAGCUCCACCAGAACAUGGCCAUGAUGUGCAUAGAGAAUGAACAGUUGAGAGUUUGUCAGGAACUCGGGGAGCAGCACUGGUAUGACAAAGUUACGAACCUCUGGGGCAGAAAGAUCAAGGGAGAAGAUGAAUUCAUCACCAAGAUGGCUGCAGAAUGGUUUAAAGGACAGGCAGCAAAGAGGACCUCCACAGCAACAGAGGAAUCUCAGGAGCCACCAGUCAGGAAGCAUGAUGACACGUUUUUUCUCGCCUGAAUGAUCUGAAUCUAGAUUACAACACACAGGUCUUUCCAUCAUUGUAUGAUUUUUUUGUGUGUGUAAAUGAACUCAAGCUUACGGACAAUGUCAAGGUGGUGAGUUAUUCACAAUUUUUGAUGAACAAAUAAGGUUUUAUAUGUAAGAUGGCUAAAUAAAGAGCAAAAUUAUUGAUAAUUA
Long non-coding RNA from Salvelinus fontinalis (brook trout), 2497 nucleotides. RefSeq lists it as uncharacterized. The record is from RefSeq and is a predicted model, not a curated record. The transcript is spliced from 3 exons. Lineage: Eukaryota; Metazoa; Chordata; Actinopteri; Salmoniformes; Salmonidae.